CGGGUGAGUAACGCGUGGGUAACCUGCCUCAUACAGGGGGAUAACAGUUAGAAAUGACUGCUAAUACCGCAUAAGACCACAGCACCGCAUGGUGCAGGGGUAAAAACUCCGGUGGUAUGAGAUGGACCCGCGUCUGAUUAGGUAGUUGGUGGGGUAACGGCCUACCAAGCCGACGAUCAGUAGCCGACCUGAGAGGGUGACCGGCCACAUUGGGACUGAGACACGGCCCAAACUCCUACGGGAGGCAGCAGUGGGGAAUAUUGCACAAUGGGGGAAACCCUGAUGCAGCGACGCCGCGUGAGCGAUGAAGUAUUUCGGUAUGUAAAGCUCUAUCAGCAGGGAAGAAAAUGACGGUACCUGACUAAGAAGCACCGGCUAAAUACGUGCCAGCAGCCGCGGUAAUACGUAUGGUGCAAGCGUUAUCCGGAUUUACUGGGUGUAAAGGGAGCGUAGACGGAGUGGCAAGUCUGAUGUGAAAACCUGGGGCUCAACCCCGGGACUGCAUUGGAAACUGUCAAUCUAGAGUACCGGAGA
RNAcentral lists this ribosomal RNA (534 nucleotides) under uncultured bacterium. Its description in RNAcentral is "bacterial SSU rRNA". It matches the Rfam family "Bacterial small subunit ribosomal RNA", at positions 103 to 655 of the family's 1533-position model. The record is from RNAcentral.